This 465-nucleotide ribosomal RNA is filed under the name uncultured Klebsiella sp. RNAcentral describes it as "bacterial SSU rRNA". It matches the Rfam family "Bacterial small subunit ribosomal RNA", at positions 338 to 795 of the family's 1533-position model. The record is from RNAcentral. Lineage: Bacteria; Pseudomonadati; Pseudomonadota; Gammaproteobacteria; Enterobacterales; Enterobacteriaceae.
CCUACGGGUGGCUGCAGUGGGGAAUCUUGGACAAUGGGGGCAACCCUGAUCCAGCAAUGCCGCGUGUGUGAAGAAGGCCUUCGGGUUGUAAAGCACUUUCAGCGGGGAGGAAGGCGGUGAGGUUAAUAACCUCAUCGAUUGACGUUACCCGCAGAAGAAGCACCGGCUAACUCCGUGCCAGCAGCCGCGGUAAUACGGAGGGUGCAAGCGUUAAUCGGAAUUACUGGGCGUAAAGCGCACGCAGGCGGUCUGUCAAGUCGGAUGUGAAAUCCCCGGGCUCAACCUGGGAACUGCAUUCGAAACUGGCAGGCUAGAGUCUUGUAGAGGGGGGUAGAAUUCCAGGUGUAGCGGUGAAAUGCGUAGAGAUCUGGAGGAAUACCGGUGGCGAAGGCGGCCCCCUGGACAAAGACUGACGCUCAGGUGCGAAAGCGUGGGGAGCAAACAGGAUUAGAUACCCCUGUAGUC